UACGUAGGUGGCAAGCGUUGUCCGGAUUUAUUGGGUUUAAAGGGUGCGUAGGCGGCCUUGUAAGUCAGUGGUGAAAUACUCCAGCUUAACUGGAGGGGUGCCAAUGAUACUGCAGGGCUUGAGUACAGAUGAGGUAGGCGGAAUUGACGGUGUAGCGGUGAAAUGCAUAGAUAUCGUCAAGAACACCGAUAGCGAAGGCAGCUUACUGGGCUGUAACUGACGGCUGAGGCACGAAAGUGUGGGGAUCAAACAGG
Molecule: ribosomal RNA, 254 nt
Filed under: uncultured bacterium
Lineage: Bacteria
Description: partial 16S ribosomal RNA
Rfam family: Bacterial small subunit ribosomal RNA
Source: RNAcentral